GAUGAACGCUGGCGGCGUGCCUAAUACAUGCAAGUCGAGCGAACGGACGAGAAGCUUGCUUCUCUGAUGUUAGCGGCGGACGGGUGAGUAACACGUGGAUAACCUACCUAUAAGACUGGGAUAACUUCGGGAAACCGGCGCUAAUACCGGAUGAUAUUUUGAACCGCAUGGUUCAAAAGUGAAAGACGGUCUUUCUGUCACUUAUAGAUGGAUCCGCGCUGCAUGAGCUAGUUGGUAAGGUAACGGCUUACCAAGGCAACGAUGCAUACCCGACCUGAGAGGGACAACGGGCAGCUGGGAAGUGAGACUGGGUACCGACUCCUACGGUAGGCAGCAGUAGGGAAUCCUACGCGAUGGGGGAAAGGCUGACGGAGCAAAGUCGCGGGAGUGAUGAAGGUGUUAGGACGGUAAAACGCUGUUAGUAGGGAAGAACAUAUGUGUAAGUACCUGUGCACAUCUUGACGGUACCUAAUCAGAAAGCCACGGCUAACUACGUG
RNAcentral lists this ribosomal RNA (497 nucleotides) under uncultured bacterium. Its description in RNAcentral is "partial 16S ribosomal RNA". It matches the Rfam family "Bacterial small subunit ribosomal RNA", at positions 28 to 507 of the family's 1533-position model. The record is from RNAcentral.